This is a long non-coding RNA of Haemorhous mexicanus (house finch), 578 nucleotides long. RefSeq lists it as uncharacterized. The record is from RefSeq and is a predicted model, not a curated record. The transcript has 5 exons. Lineage: Eukaryota; Metazoa; Chordata; Aves; Passeriformes; Fringillidae.
ACACAAAUACAGAAGGCAUCAUUAUGGCCCAGGAGUUAUACUGUCUGGUAGGAGAAGGCCAUUCCUUAUCAAAGCAAUGCCUAAAAUGCAGCCUAGCCUACAGUUUAUGGUGAAGAUUGUGAGGAUCACAGAUACUGCUGCACUGGAGUAGAGGUGCCACUGACAGAAACCAGGGAAAAGCACAAGGAUCAGUAGUGGGAUGUUUGCAUGCAAGCAAGUGUGCAGGAACGGUCAGCGAGUGGAGCACAGGGCCCCUUGGGUGGGAAGGAGCAACAGAGGGACAACUCAGCCUCCUCCCAGUUCUGGAAACACAAGAAAAGAAAGGAAAUAAACUCUAACUCCAGAGUAUAAGGAAGACACUUAUGAGGAAUUCUGUCAUCUUUGUCCAGCUGAGAAGUCUUCUCCUCACCUGACACUGUUGAUGACCCCUGUGAGCUGUGGAAGAUAAUCUUGGGGUUUUGAGCUGUGGUCUCCUCCAAGCAGUUGAGAAACUGAGAGAAGCAAGAGGCACUGUGAGAGAGAUGAGGAGAGCUGGGAGCUGGAACAAGACCAAAGUGAAAUAAUCCACUCACGGUAAG